GGGCUAUUGCUGGGCUAUUUGCUUGUUUUGAUGAUGUGGCAGGAGGAUUUUUAGUGCUGAUGAUGUGGCAGUGGCUAGGCUAUGGCUGGGCUAUUGCUGGGCUAUUCCUAUUGUGGAUGGCCUAAAGGGGCUGCUAUAUUCCUUGUUCAUUUCCUGCUGCAAAUCCUCUCUUUUAAGGAUUUUGCAGCAUUCUUUAACUGAAAUCUGGUGGUGUACUAGGAAAAUAGGACUCUUGAAAAUGUGUUGAUUGUUGGUACUGCAGAAUGUACAAUCAAAGGCUACAGCCUACAGAGAUUGGUUGGGGUUUAGGAGUGCUGCAGGCUGUCCUUUGCUCUUUUGGGAUUGUUUAGCCUCUUUUCAUUAAAGUAGGUCUCGGUUGAGGUGGAAAACAAUGCAGGAGUUCACUUGCCACUCUAGGCAAGAUUUGCUUUUCAUCCUUGAAGUCUUUGGAGAGGACUAACACUACAUGGCUUGCAGCUCUCGGCCCUACAGGCUGCUUCGGCGGGACCGUGAAGGUGUGGCUUGGCUCGAAAAGAGAGAGGCCCAAAGUUUAGCAUUCCUAAAAUUGUAAUAGAAUAGGGCCGUUCCAAGUUGUUCUUCUUUCCAUUCUCAAAUAAUAUGUGAAUCAUUUAUAAAGGUUAAUAUAUAUUGUCCUCGAGCACCCUUAGUUCGGAACCAAAA
Molecule: long non-coding RNA, 681 nt
Organism: Salvia splendens (bonfire salvia)
Lineage: Eukaryota; Viridiplantae; Streptophyta; Magnoliopsida; Lamiales; Lamiaceae
Exons: 3
Source: RefSeq, a predicted model, not a curated record